Cajanus cajan (pigeon pea) is the source of this 114-nucleotide non-coding RNA. The record is from RefSeq and is a predicted model, not a curated record. NCBI's taxonomy places the organism in Eukaryota, Viridiplantae, Streptophyta, Magnoliopsida, Fabales, Fabaceae.
UGCUCUUGGUAAAUUUGAUGAUGGGCCAUUCUUGCUUGGUCAAUUCAGUUUGGUGGAUAUUGCCUAUGUUCCAUUUGUUGAAAGAUUCCAAGUUGUCUUUGCCGAGGUGUUCAA